CUUUAGAAGUUUUGAUUCAUGGCUCAGGAUGAACGCUGGCGGCGUGCCUAAUACAUGCAAGUCGAGCGAACAGACGAGGAGCUUGCUCCUCUGACGUUAGCGGCGGACGGGUGAGUAACACGUGGAUAACCUACCUAUAAGACUGGGAUAACUUCGGGAAACCGGAGCUAAUACCGGAUAAUAUAUUGAACCGCAUGGUUCAAUAGUGAAAGACGGUUUUGCUGUCACUUAUAGAUGGAUCCGCGCCGCAUUAGCUAGUUGGUAAGGUAACGGCUUACCAAGGCAACGAUGCGUAGCCGACCUGAGAGGGUGAUCGGCCACACUGGAACUGAGACACGGUCCAGACUCCUACGGGAGGCAGCAGUAGGGAAUCUUCCGCAAUGGGCGAAAACCUGACGGAGCAACGCCGCGUGAGUGAUGAAGGUCUUCGGAUCGUAAAACUCUGUUAUUAGGGAAGAACAAAUGUGUAAGUAACUAUGCACGUCUUGACGGUACCUAAUCAGAAAACCACGGCUAACUACGUGCCAGCAGCCGCGGUAAUACGUAGGUGGCAAGCGUUAUCCGGAAUUAUUGGGCGUAAAGCGCGCGUAGGCGGUUUUUUAAGUCUGAUGUGAAAGCCCACGGCUCAACCGUGGAGGGUCAUUGGAAACUGGAAAACUUGAGUGCAGAAGAGGAAAGUGGAAUUCCAUGUGUAGCGGUGAAAUGCGCAGAGAUAUGGAGGAACACCAGUGGCGAAGGCGACUUUCUGGUCUGUAACUGACGCUGAUGUGCGAAAGCGUGGGGAUCAAACAGGAUUAGAUACCCUGGUAGUCCACGCCGUAAACGAUGAGUGCUAAGUGUUAGGGGGUUUCCGCCCCUUA
Molecule: ribosomal RNA, 860 nt
Filed under: Staphylococcus sp.
Lineage: Bacteria; Bacillati; Bacillota; Bacilli; Caryophanales; Staphylococcaceae
Description: bacterial SSU rRNA
Rfam family: Bacterial small subunit ribosomal RNA
Source: RNAcentral